This 774-nucleotide ribosomal RNA is filed under the name uncultured Neocallimastigales. RNAcentral's name for it is "partial large subunit ribosomal RNA". It matches the Rfam family "Eukaryotic large subunit ribosomal RNA", at positions 23 to 645 of the family's 3401-position model. Lineage: Eukaryota; Fungi; Neocallimastigomycota; Neocallimastigomycetes; Neocallimastigales. The record is from RNAcentral.
AGAGAGAGACAUGCGCGCAUAUCAAUAAGCGGAGGAAAAGAAACUAACUAGGAUUCCCUCAGUAACGGCGAGUGAAGCGGGAAGAGCUCAAAUUUGAAAUCUUCAAGGUUCUACCUUGACGAAUUGUAGUUUAAAGAAGUGUUUUCUGUUGGAGUUUUGGUAAAAGUUCUUUGGAAUAGGACAUCAUAGAGGGUGAGAAUCCCGUAUUUGACCAUUAUUUCCAGCUUUGUGAUACACUUUCAAAGAGUCGGAUUGUUUGGGAAUGCAGUCCAAAAUGGGUGGUAAAUUUCAUCUAAAGCUAAAUAUUGGCGAGAGACCGAUAGCGAACAAGUACCGUGAGGGAAAGAUGAAAAGAACUUUGAAAAGAGAGUUAAACGGUACGUGAAAUUGUCAAAAGGGAAGCGUUUGACACCAGUGUUGUUUUCUCGAAAAUCAAUUGAAAAAGGCAGGAUUUUGUGUUGUAUUGACUUUAUCAGCUUUCUGCACUCUUUUCUUGUCUUUUUUAAUGCACUUUUCGUUUAACAAGUCAACAUCAAUUUCUUUUGUUGUAAAAGGGUCAUUGGAAGGUGGCUUUCUUUUCGGAGAAAGUGUUUAUAGCCUUUGGCCUCUGCAAUCGGAGAGAUUGAGGUCUGCAGCGUAGAUCCUUCGGGGUUAGAUACAUUUGUGCUAAGUUAUAGCCUUUUCAUAGACAACUUGUUGACUAUGAUCUGUCAUGUAGCUUACUCGCUUAUGCUAUUUUACCUACGCUUAGGAUGUUGAUGUGAUACUGCGAGC